Molecule: long non-coding RNA, 418 nt
Filed under: Setaria italica (foxtail millet)
Lineage: Eukaryota; Viridiplantae; Streptophyta; Magnoliopsida; Poales; Poaceae
Description: long non-coding RNA (SITA_LNC002501)
Source: RNAcentral
CAGCAUGUUAAUUCCGUGGAACAUUCCCUGAUUGAUUGGUCUUGGUUUGCAAUCAUCAUCCAUUUCAUAAUCCGGUUGAUUGUAGGUCAUAUUUUUGUAUGCAACUUUACUCCAUUGUAUGGCCAGGUCCUGCAACAUUACGAUCAGAUAAGAAAUUAAUGAUACAUUUCAUUGAACAUGGACAUGAGUUUGUAUAUGAGUAAAUCUGUCAUAUACACUGCACCGUUGUGCCGAAAAAAAGAUUUCAGAAUACACGGCCUGCAAUUCAGAAACUUGAAGUAAAGUCUCACUAUUAGUAUCAGAGUUACACCUUUCUAGCAUUCUCAAGAUCAUCAAAGGGCGAAUAGUUGUCGUCAAAUUUCGCUCCAACAAUUUGAUAUACAGAAUUGAAGAAAAGCAGAACACUAUAGCCUUCAAC